RNAcentral lists this ribosomal RNA (484 nucleotides) under uncultured bacterium. RNAcentral's name for it is "partial 16S ribosomal RNA". It matches the Rfam family "Bacterial small subunit ribosomal RNA", at positions 30 to 507 of the family's 1533-position model. The record is from RNAcentral.
AUUGAACGCUGGCGGCAGGCCUAACACAUGCAAGUCGAGCGGAUGAAGGGAGCUUGCUCCUGGAUUCAGCGGCGGACGGGUGAGUAAUGCCUAGGAAUCUGCCUGGUAGUGGGGGAUAACGUCCGGAAACGGGCGCUAAUACCGCAUACGUCCUGAGGGAGAAAGUGGGGGAUCUUCGGACCUCACGCUAUCAGAUGAGCCUAGGUCGGAUUAGCUAGUUGGUGGGGUAAAGGCCUACCAAGGCGACGAUCCGUAGCUGGUCUGAGAGGAUGAUCAGUCACACUGGAACUGAGACACGGUCCAGACUCCUACGGGAGGCAGCAGUGGGGAAUAUUGGACAAUGGGCGAAAGCCUGAUCCAGCCAUGCCGCGUGUGUGAGGAAGGUCUUCGGAUUGUAAAGCACUUUAAGUUGGGAGGAAGGGCAGUAAGUUAAUACCUUGCUGUUUUGACGUUACCAACAGAAUAAGCACCGGCUAACUUCGUG